This is a non-coding RNA of Pelobates cultripes (western spadefoot toad), 90 nucleotides long. The record is from the annotation of a GenBank genome assembly. Lineage: Eukaryota; Metazoa; Chordata; Amphibia; Anura; Pelobatidae.
GCUAACUAUAGAAUUCUGAGUGUGUAUACAUAAAAUAUUAUAAUAUAUAAUUAUAUUUUAUAUAUACACACUCAGAAUUCUAUAGUUAGC